UGCCCAGCACGGGGCCUGGCACGUGGUGAGAACUUAGUCACCAACUUUGGUUGUUGUUGGUGACGUCAGCAGGACACAAAGGACAAAAGAGAGGGUGGAAUUUCAUUUCCAAGCACCGGGAGCAUGACACAGAGCCAGCAGGGAGCAGUGGGCUCCAGAGCCCUAGGGACCCCCUUCUCAUGCCAUGGUCAGUUACCCCUGCAGUGGCACAAACGAGGCACUGAGGAUGAGUGCCAGGGGAAGUUUUCUCAAUGGAAAGAUUUCUUCAUAGCAAGAGUUUCACCAACCCCUUGGGGGCCGUCGAUAAGGAGGCCUAGCUUCUUGACUUCCCAGUGUGUUACGUAAGCCCAAGAGGCUGAUCAAAAGGGAAGCAAGCAUGUGGCUCCGGAGAGUGGGCGGGCAGCUCUGCAGCUGUUCCAACUUUCAGCCGCCUUCCCAGGCCACGAAGACUCCAGCCCUGGGCUUGUCCGAACCGGACUGGGGAAUGUGAGGUCUUCAGGAGGAGGUAGGACAAGUGGAACAUGAAAGGGCAAGGAAUACAUUAGAGCUGCAUCUUUUCUUGGAAAAAUGGCAUCAAAAUGUGCAACUUUAUUCAGCUGGCUGGUGUGUAUCCAGGUGGAACCUGGAGUGUAGACACCCAUGCCAGCUCCACCUUCCCUGACCAAGAGGCAUUGGAUGGCUACGGGGACCCAGGGAGCUCUGCCCAGAGAAAAAUGGCCAGGCCGACCUCUUCUAGUCUCCUGCAGGCUCAGAAAGGCCUGGGGUGCUCUAUGCCUGAGUAUCACUAUAGACAUUGAGAAAUGGACUGUCCCCAGCCCACUCUGGGUUUGUGGCUUUGGGGAAGCAUGGGACCUGUCAAGUGAUGCACCCAAUUCAGCACAAGGCUGCCAGUGCAGUGGCCCUUGUAGUCUUCCACAGGCAGCAGAGAAAGUGGCCUGAAGGCAGGGGAUGCAGGGCCAGCUCCAAGGUGAUCAAUUGUGUGGUCAGUUCUCCAGGCGUGAGACCAGAAGUUGGUAUAGUCUUUGUUUCCAGACCUGCCUGUCAGCAAGUCAGGUGAUUCUGAUUCCGACAGCUCUUCCUACUAGAGGGUCUGGGGUCAUCCGGGCUCUACCUCUGAAGGCUUGCCUCCAAAAAUAGCCUUUUCCUCCUGUGCUGGGGGCUCUGGGCCAUGGGCCCUGCCGGAAAAUGUUAGUUUCCAAGGCAGACAGACAUCUGGAAGCACCAACUGGCCACACGCUGAUGGUCAGGCCAUGGCUAAGUGUCACGUGGCAUUAGGGGUGACAUCUGGCCCUGGAACACUCUCUAUCCUGUCCCUUUUAUUGUGCAAAUUUUGCACAUGUUCAAAGCCCAAGUCACAGCAGGUCCAGUGGGCAUGUUGGGGCCUCAAAGAUGUGCACCCCAGGAACACUGAAGUUGGAACUGUCUUCCCAGCGCUACAGGGAGCCCGUGGCCAUCACCUUGGGAAGGAGGCUGUCCCCUGAGCUGUUGCUGCAUCCCCACCGAGAGGCUUGUCCGGCUGCCUGGUGUGAGUCAUGGGCCUGCUGUCAGGAUUCAGAAGCUUGAGCCGUUUCCUGCAGAUAAGGGCUAAGUGCAAGGGAAACCUGGCGGGAGGUCGCCCUGCUGCCAGAGAGCACUUCCUCCAGAGCCCCCCAGUGCUAAUUAGCCAUUCCAAGCAUAGUUUCAAAAACAUUUAGGGAUUUCCUCAUCAAAAUAAACUUCCUCCUGUAUUAUCUUCA
Long non-coding RNA from Heterocephalus glaber (naked mole-rat), 1736 nucleotides. RefSeq lists it as uncharacterized. Lineage: Eukaryota; Metazoa; Chordata; Mammalia; Rodentia; Bathyergidae. The record is from RefSeq and is a predicted model, not a curated record.